AACGAACGCUGGCGGCGUGGAUAAGACAUGCAAGUCGAACGGGACUAAAUCUGUAGCAAUACAGGUUUAGUUUAGUGGCGAACGGGUGCGUAACACGUGGGCAAUCUGCCGAGAAGUGGGGGAUAGCUCGCCGAAAGGCGAAUUAAUACCGCAUAUGAUCAGUGAAGACAUCUUCAUGACAUCAAAGCCGGGGCAACCUGGCGCUUCUUGAUGAGCCCGCGGCCUA
This 226-nucleotide ribosomal RNA is filed under the name uncultured bacterium. Its description in RNAcentral is "partial 16S ribosomal RNA". It matches the Rfam family "Bacterial small subunit ribosomal RNA", at positions 29 to 240 of the family's 1533-position model. The record is from RNAcentral.